GAUGAGAACGUAGCGAAAUGCGAUACGUAAUGUGAAUUGCAGAAUUCAGUGAAUCAUCGAAUCUUUGAACGCAUAUUGCGCUCUCUGGUAUUCCGGAGAGCAUGCUUGUUUGAGUAUCAGUAAACACCUCAACUCCCUUUUCUUUUUUGAAAUUGGAGCUGGACUUGAGUGAUCCCAACGCUUUCUUCCAAGAAAGUGGCGGGUUGCUUGAAAUGCAGGUGCAGCUGAACUUUUCUCUGAGCUAUAAGCAUAUCUAUUUAGUCUGCCUAAAAAACAGAUUAUUACCUUUGCUGCAGCUAACAUAAAGGAGAUUAGUUCUUGUGCUGACUGAUGCAGGAUUCACAAAGACAGGCUUCGGCCGACUUUGUAAACUCGAUCUCAAAUCAAGUAAGACUACCCGCUGAACUUAAGCAUAUCAAUAAGCGGAGGA
This 430-nucleotide unclassified non-coding RNA is filed under the name soil metagenome. RNAcentral describes it as "partial contains 5.8S ribosomal RNA, internal transcribed spacer 2, and large subunit ribosomal RNA". The stretch from base 5 to 119 matches the Rfam family "5.8S ribosomal RNA", at positions 40 to 154 of the family's 154-position model. The record is from RNAcentral.